CAAGUCGAACGCGAAAGUCCCGCAAGGGAUAAGUAGAGUGGCAAACGGGUGAGUAACGCGUGGGCGACCUACCUUCGAGUGGGGGAUAACCUUCCGAAAGGAGGGCUAAUACCGCAUGACAUCCCGUGUUUGGAGACACGGAAAUCAAAGCCGGGGAUCGCAAGACCUGGCGCUUGAAGAGGGGCCUACGUCCGAUUAGCUAGUUGGUGAGGUAACGGCUCACCAAGGCUCCGAUCGGUAUCCGGCCUGAGAGGGCGGACGGACACACUGGAACUGAGACACGGUCCAGACUCCUACGGGAGGCAGCAGUGGGGAAUUGUUCGCAAUGGGCGCAAGCCUGACGACGCAACGCCGCGUGGAGGAUGAAGACCUUCGGGUCGUAAACUCCUUUCGACCGAGAUGAAUUCCUGCCGGCCUAACACGCCGGCGGGGUGACAGUAUCGAGGGAAGCAGCCCCGGCUAACUCCGUGCCAGCAGCCGCGGUAAUACGGGGGGGGCAAGCGUUGUUCGGAAUUACUGGGCGUAAAGGGUUAGUAGGUGGCCAACUAAGUCAGACGUGAAAUCCCUCAGCUUAACUGGGGAACUGCGUCUGAGACUGAUUGGCUUGAGGACAGGAGAGGAACGCGGAAUUCCAGGUGUAGCGGUGAAAUGCGUAGAUAUCUGGAGGAACACCGGUGGCGAAGGCGGCGUUCUGGACUGUUUCUGACACUGAAUAACGAAAGCCAGGGGAGCAAACGGGAUUAGAUACCCCGGUAGUCCUGGCCCUAAACGAUGAAUGCUUGGUGUGGCGGGUAUCGAUCCCUGCCGUGCCGCAGUUAACGCGUUAAGCAUUCCGCCUGGGGAGUACGGUCGCAAGGCUGAAACUCAAGGAAUUGACGGGGGCCCGCACAAGCGGUGGA
This 899-nucleotide ribosomal RNA is filed under the name uncultured Acidobacteriota bacterium. RNAcentral describes it as "bacterial SSU rRNA". It matches the Rfam family "Bacterial small subunit ribosomal RNA", at positions 58 to 936 of the family's 1533-position model. Lineage: Bacteria; Pseudomonadati; Acidobacteriota. The record is from RNAcentral.